AGUGAACGCUGGCGGUAGGCCUAACACAUGCAAGUCGAACGGCAGCACAGUAAGAGCUUGCUCUUACGGGUGGCGAGUGGCGGACGGGUGAGGAAUACAUCGGAAUCUACUUUUUCGUGGGGGAUAACGUAGGGAAACUUACGCUAAUACCGCAUACGACCUACGGGUGAAAGCAGGUGAUCUUCGGACCUUGCGCGAUUGAAUGAGCCGAUGUCGGAUUAGCUAGUUGGCGGGGUAAAGGCCCACCAAGGCGACGAUCCGUAGCUGGUCUGAGAGGAUGAUCAGCCACACUGGAACUGAGACAAGGUCCAGACUCCUACGGGAGGCAGCAGUGGGGAAUAUUGGACAAUGGGCGCAAGCCUGAUCCAGCCAUACCGCGUGGGUGAAGAAGGCCUUCGGGUUGUAAAGACCUUUUGUUGGGAAAGAAAAGCAGCAGGUUAAUACCCCGCUGUUCUGACGGUACCCAAAGAAUAAGCACAGGCUAACUUCGUG
RNAcentral lists this ribosomal RNA (492 nucleotides) under uncultured bacterium. Its description in RNAcentral is "partial 16S ribosomal RNA". It matches the Rfam family "Bacterial small subunit ribosomal RNA", at positions 29 to 507 of the family's 1533-position model. The record is from RNAcentral.